GACGAACGCUGGCGGCGUGCCUAAUACAUGCAAGUCGAACGCUUCUUUCCUCCCGAGUGCUUGCACUCUAUUGGAAAGAGGAGUGGCGGACGGGUGAGUAACACGUGGGUAACCUACCCAUCAGAGGGGGAUAACACUUGGAAACAGGUGCUAAUACCGCAUAACAGUUUAUGCCGCAUGGCAUAAGAGUGAAAGGCGCUUUCGGGUGUCGCUGAUGGAUGGACCCGCGGUGCAUUAGCUAGUUGGGGAGGUAACGGCUCACCAAGGCCACGAUGCAUAGACGGCCUGAGAGGGUGAUCGGCCACACUGGGACUGAGACACGGCCCAGACUCCUACGGGAGGCAGCAGUAGGGAAUCUUCGGCAAUGGACGAAAGUCUGACCGAGCAACGCCGCGUGAGUGAAGAAGGUGUUCGGAUCGUAAAACUCUGUUGUUAGAGAAGAACAAGGACGUUAGUAACUGAACGUCCCCUGACGGUAUCUAAACAGAAAGCCACGGCUAACUACGUG
This 508-nucleotide ribosomal RNA is filed under the name uncultured bacterium. RNAcentral describes it as "partial 16S ribosomal RNA". It matches the Rfam family "Bacterial small subunit ribosomal RNA", at positions 28 to 507 of the family's 1533-position model. The record is from RNAcentral.